Molecule: ribosomal RNA, 440 nt
Filed under: uncultured bacterium
Lineage: Bacteria
Description: partial 16S ribosomal RNA
Rfam family: Bacterial small subunit ribosomal RNA
Source: RNAcentral
CCUACGGGAGGCAGCAGUGGGGAAUAUUGCACAAUGGGGGAAACCCUGAUGCAGCGACGCCGCGUGAGUGAGGAAGUAUUUCGGUAUGUUAAGCUCUAUCAGUAGGGAAGUAAAUGACGGCACCUGACUAAUAAUCCCCGGCUAACUACGUGCCAGCAGCCGCGGUACUAUGUAGGGGGCAAGCGUUAUCCGGAUUUACUGGGUGUAAAGGGGGUGUAGACGGUUAAUCAAGUCAGAAGUGAAAACCCAGGGCUCAACCUUGGGACUGCUUUUGAAACUGAGUAGCUAGAGUGCAGGAGAGGUAAGCGGAAUUCCUAGUGUAGCGGUGAAAUGUGUAGAUAUUAGGAGGAACACCAGUGGCGAAGGCGGCUUACUGGACUGUAACUGACGUUGAGGCUCGAAAGCGUGGGGAGCAAACAGGAUUAGAUACCCCAGUAGUC